CUGCUGCCUCCCGUAGGAGUCUGGUCCGUGUCUCAGUACCAGUGUGGGGGACCUUCCUCUCAGAACCCCUAGACAUCGUCGCCUUGGUGGGCCGUUACCCCGCCAACAAGCUAAUGUCACGCAUGCCCAUCCGUCUCCGGAGUUGCCUCCUUUGGCCGAAAGAAGAUGCCUCCCCUCGGCCACAUGCGGUAUUAGGCCGGAUUUCUCCGGGUUAUCCCGCUGAAACGGGCCAGGUUGCAUACGCGUCACUCACCCGUGCGCCGGUCG
RNAcentral lists this ribosomal RNA (267 nucleotides) under uncultured bacterium. RNAcentral's name for it is "partial 16S ribosomal RNA". The record is from RNAcentral.